Molecule: ribosomal RNA, 483 nt
Filed under: uncultured bacterium
Lineage: Bacteria
Description: bacterial SSU rRNA
Rfam family: Bacterial small subunit ribosomal RNA
Source: RNAcentral
UGAACGCUGGCGGCGUGCUAACACAUGCAAGUCGAACGCUGAAGCUCCCAGCUUGCUGGGGGUGGAUGAGUGGCGAACGGGUGAGUAUCACGUGAGUAACCUGCCCUUGACUCUGGGAUAAGCCCGGGAAACUGGGUCUAAUACUGGAUAGGACUGGCCAUCGCAUGGUGGUUGGUUGAAAGCUUUUGCGGUUUUGGAUGGACUCGCGGCCUAUCAGCUUGUUGGUGGGGUAAUGGCCUACCAAGGCUUUGACGGGUAGCCGGCCUGAGAGGGUGACCGGCCACACUGGGACUGAGACACGGCCCAGACUCCUACGGGAGGCAGCAGUGGGGGAUAUUGCACAAUGGGCGCAAGCCUGAAUGCAGCGACGCCGCGUGAGGGAUGACGGCCUUCGGGUUGUAAACCUCUUUCAGUUGGGAAGAAGCCUUUCGGGGUGACGGUACCUUCAGAAGAAGCACCGGCUAACUACGUGCCAGCAGCCGC